This 374-nucleotide ribosomal RNA is filed under the name uncultured Alphaproteobacteria bacterium. RNAcentral describes it as "bacterial SSU rRNA". It matches the Rfam family "Bacterial small subunit ribosomal RNA", at positions 521 to 896 of the family's 1533-position model. Lineage: Bacteria; Pseudomonadati; Pseudomonadota; Alphaproteobacteria. The record is from RNAcentral.
UAAUACGAAGGGACCUAGCGUAGUUCGGAAUUACUGGGCUUAAAGAGCACGUAGGUGGUUAAGAAAGUUGGUGGUGAAAUCCCAAGGCUUAACCUUGGAACUGCCACCAAAACUUUUUAACUAGAGUAUGAUUGAGGCAAGCGGAAUUUCUAGUGUAGAGGUGAAAUUCGUAGAUAUUAGAAAGAACACCAAUUGCGAAGGCAGCUUUCUGGAUCAUUACUGACACUGAGGUGCGAAAGCAUGGAUAGCGAAGAGGAUUAGAUACCCUCGUAGUCCAUGCCGUAAACGAUGUGUGCUAGACGUUGGGAAUUUAUUUUUCAGUGUCGCAGCUAAAGCGUUAAGCACACCGCCUGGGGAGUACGACCGCAAGGUUA